Molecule: unclassified non-coding RNA, 289 nt
Filed under: fungal sp.
Lineage: Eukaryota; Fungi
Description: partial internal transcribed spacer region
Rfam family: Eukaryotic small subunit ribosomal RNA (bases 1-46)
Source: RNAcentral
AAGUCGUAACAAGGUUUCCGUAGGUGAACCUGCGGAAGGAUCAUUAACGAAUUAUUUCCAAUCAACCUUUAAUACUAUCAUACGAAUUUUCAUGAUCUUUCAUUGAUAGUAUUCUAUGCUUGUCAUAGAUUUUAGAGGAGUUUCAAUUCAUUCGAGUUGAAAUUAAGAUCAUCCUCGAAUUAUUAUUUUUACCAUGUAAAAUAUUAUCAGAACAAAUAGGAUUUAAUGAAAAUUAAAUUCUUGAGAGAAAACUCAAAAACAACUGUUAGCAAUGGAUACCUAGGCUCUU